RNAcentral lists this ribosomal RNA (467 nucleotides) under uncultured bacterium. RNAcentral describes it as "partial 16S ribosomal RNA". It matches the Rfam family "Bacterial small subunit ribosomal RNA", at positions 28 to 507 of the family's 1533-position model. The record is from RNAcentral.
GAUGAACGCUGACAGAAUGCUUAACACAUGCAAGUCAACUUGAAUUUGGGUUUUUAACUUAGGUUUGGGUGGCGGACGGGUGAGUAACGCGUAAAGAACUUGCCUCACAGCUAGGGACAACAUUUGGAAACGAAUGCUAAUACCUAAUAUUAUGAUAAUAGGGCAUCCUAUAAUUAUGAAAGCUAUAAGCGCUGUGAGAGAGCUUUGCGUCCCAUUAGCUAGUUGGAGAGGUAACGGCUCGCCAAGGCGAUGAUGGGUAGCCGGCCUGAGAGGGUGAUCGGCCACAAGGGGACUGAGACACGGCCCUUACUCCUACGGGAGGCAGCAGUGGGGAAUAUUGGACAAUGGACCAAGAGUCUGAUCCAGCAAUUCUGUGUGCACGAUGAAGUUUUUCGGAAUGUAAAGUGCUUUCAGUUGGGAAGAAAGAAAUGACGGUACCAACAGAAGAAGUGACGGCUAAAUACGUG